CCUACGGGAGGCAGCAGUGAGGAAUAUUGGUCAAUGGGCGGGAGCCUGAACCAGCCAAGCCGCGUGAGGGAAGAAGGUACAGCGUAUCGUAAACCUCUUUUGUCAGGGAACAAAGGCGGGGACUAGUCCCCGGCUGAGGGUACCUGACGAAUAAGCAUCGGCUAACUCCGUGCCAGCAGCCGCGGUAAUACGGAGGAUGCGAGCGUUAUCCGGAUUUAUUGGGGUUAAAGGGUGCGCAGGCGGCCUGUUAAGUCAGCGGUAAAAGCCCGGGGCUCAACCCCGGCGAGCCGUUGAAACUGGCUGGCUUGAGUUGGAGAGAAGUACGCGGAAUGCGCGGUGUAGCGGUGAAAUGCUUAGAUAUCGCGCAGAACCCCGAUUGCGAAGGCAGCGUACCGGCUCCACACUGACGCUGAGGCACGAAAGCGUGGGUAUCGAACAGGAUUAGAUACCCCAGUAGUC
This 459-nucleotide ribosomal RNA is filed under the name uncultured bacterium. RNAcentral describes it as "partial 16S ribosomal RNA". It matches the Rfam family "Bacterial small subunit ribosomal RNA", at positions 338 to 795 of the family's 1533-position model. The record is from RNAcentral.